GGGGAUGACCGGUUUUGACAGCAGGUAGAGUUCGAUUGUAAGCACGUCGAGCGCUGUGCGGCAGCUCGUAAAUCCCGACGCUCAACGUACAAAUGGCAACAACAGCUAUGCACUCGCUGCCUAAUUUUCAGAGAAAAUUGGCUUAAUCGCCGGGCCCAAGGAGGUUCGGCGACGAGUAUCCCGAAGGGUAGUUCCGCUCUUUAACCGCUCUUCAUACGGGGUAUCGUUCAUUUAGAGAUAGUACGGUGCAACGCCUCGGGCGCCGUGCGAAACAAAGAGGCUGGGACUUGGGUUAGGCCGCCGCCUGCCGGGCUCA
RNAcentral lists this transfer-messenger RNA (316 nucleotides) under Alistipes sp. RNAcentral's name for it is "partial transfer-messenger RNA". It matches the Rfam family "transfer-messenger RNA", at positions 1 to 268 of the family's 374-position model. Rfam says of the family: Bacterial tmRNA, also known as 10Sa RNA or SsrA, is named for its dual tRNA and mRNA-like properties. Its role is to liberate the mRNA from a stalled ribosome. To accomplish this part of the tmRNA is used as a reading frame that ends in a translation stop signal. Lineage: Bacteria; Pseudomonadati; Bacteroidota; Bacteroidia; Bacteroidales; Rikenellaceae. The record is from RNAcentral.